Molecule: transfer RNA, 90 nt
Filed under: uncultured Pleomorphomonas sp.
Lineage: Bacteria; Pseudomonadati; Pseudomonadota; Alphaproteobacteria; Hyphomicrobiales; Pleomorphomonadaceae
Description: tRNA-Ser
Rfam family: tRNA
About the family: Transfer RNA (tRNA) molecules are approximately 80 nucleotides in length. Their secondary structure includes four short double-helical elements and three loops (D, anti-codon, and T loops).
Source: RNAcentral
AGACGAUUGCUCGGGUGGUUUAAGGCAGCGGUCUUGAAAACCGCCGAGGGUGCAAGCCCUCCGUGAGUUCGAAUCUCACUCCGUCAGCCA